UCAUCUUCGGGGGUAGAGCACUGUUUCGGCUAGGGGGUCAUCCCGACUUACCAACCCGAUGCAAACUACGAAUACCGAAGAAUGUUAUCACGGGAGACACACGGCGGGUGCUAACGUCCGUCGUGAAGAGGGAAACAACCCAGACCGCCAGCUAAGGUCCCAAAGUCAUGGUUAAGUGGGAAACGAUGUGGGAAGGCCCAGACAGCCAGGAUGUUGGCUUAGAAGCAGCCAUCAUUUAAAGAAAGCGUAAUAGCUCACUGGUCGAGUCGGCCUGCGCGGAAGAUGUAACGGGGCUAAACCAUGCACCGAAGCUGCGGCAGCGACACUAUGUGUUGUUGGGUAGGGGAGCGUUCUGUAAGCCGUUGAAGGUGGCCUGUGAGGGUUGCUGGAGGUAUCAGAAGUGCGAAUGCUGACAUAAGUAACGAUAAUGCGGGUGAAAAACCCGCACGCCGGAAGACCAAGGGUUCCUGUCCAACGUUAAUCGGGGCAGGGUGAGUCGACCCCUAAGGCGAGGCCGAAAGGCGUAGUCGAUGGGAAACAGGUUAAUAUUCCUGUACUUGGUGUUACUGCGAAGGGGGGACGGAGAAGGCUAUGUUGGCCGGGCGACGGUUGUCCCGGUUUAAGCAUGUAGGCGGAUGUUCCAGGUAAAUCCGGAACGUUAUUAACGCUGAGGUGUGAUGACGAGGCACUACGGUGCUGAAGUGACAAAUGCCCUGCUUCCAGGAAAAGCCUCUAAGCAUCAGGUAACAUCAAAUCGUACCCCAAACCGACACAGGUGGUCAGGUAGAGAAUACCAAGGCGCUUGAGAGAACUCGGGUGAAGGAACUAGGCAAAAUGGUGCCGUAACUUCGGGAGAAGGCACGCUGAUGGUAGGUGAAGUGACUUGCUCGUGGAGCUGAAAUCAGUCGAAGAUACCAGCUGGCUGCAACUGUUUAUUAAAAACACAGCACUGUGCAAACACGAAAGUGGACGUAUACGGUGUGACGCCUGCCCGGUGCCGGAAGGUUAAUUGAUGGGGUUAUCCUCACGGAGAAGCUCUUGAUCGAAGCCCCGGUAAACGGCGGCCGUAACUAUAACGGUCCUAAGGUAGCGAAAUUCCUUGUCGGGUAAGUUCCGACCUGCACGAAUGGCGUAAUGAUGGCCAGGCUGUCUCCACCCGAGACUCAGUGAAAUUGAACUCGCUGUGAAGAUGCAGUGUACCCGCGGCAAGACGGAAAGACCCCGUGAACCUUUACUAUAGCUUGACACUGAACACUGGUCCUUGAUGUGUAGGAUAGGUGGGAGGCUUUGAAGUGUGGACGCCAGUCUGCAUGGAGCCGUCCUUGAAAUACCACCCUUUAAUGGCUGGUGUUCUAACGUGGGCCCGUGAUCCGGGUUGCGGACAGUGUCUGGUGGGUAGUUUGACUGGGGCGGUCUCCUCCUAAAGAGUAACGGAGGAGCACGAAGGUCAGCUAAUCCUGGUCGGACAUCAGGAGGUUAGUGCAAUGGCAUAAGCUGGCUUGACUGCGAGCGUGACGGCGCGAGCAGGUGCGAAAGCAGGUCAUAGUGAUCCGGUGGUUCUGAAUGGAAGGGCCAUCGCUCAACGGAUAAAAGGUACUCCGGGGAUAACAGGCUGAUACCGCCCAAGAGUUCAUAUCGACGGCGGUGUUUGGCACCUCGAUGUCGGCUCAUCACAUCCUGGGGCUGAAGUAGGUCCCAAGGGUAUGGCUGUUCGCCAUUUAAAGUGGUACGCGAGCUGGGUUUAGAACGUCGUGAGACAGUUCGGUCCCUAUCUGCCGUGGGCGCUGGAGAAUUGAGGGGGGCUGCUCCUAGUACGAGAGGACCGGAGUGGACGCAUCACUGGUGUUCGGGUUGUCAUGCCAAUGGCAUUGCCCGGUAGCUAAAUGCGGAAGAGAUAAGUGCUGAAAGCAUCUAAGCACGAAACUUGCCCCGAGAUGAGUUCUCCCUGACUCUUUGAGGGUCCUGAAGGAACGUUGAAGACGACGACGUUGAUAGGCCGGGUGUGUAAGCGCAGCGAUGCGUUGAGCUAACCGGUACUAAUGAACCGUGAGGCUUAACCUU
This 2061-nucleotide ribosomal RNA is filed under the name Klebsiella oxytoca 10-5245. RNAcentral describes it as "bacterial LSU rRNA". It matches the Rfam family "Bacterial large subunit ribosomal RNA", at positions 890 to 2925 of the family's 2925-position model. The record is from RNAcentral. Lineage: Bacteria; Pseudomonadati; Pseudomonadota; Gammaproteobacteria; Enterobacterales; Enterobacteriaceae.